UACGGAGGAUCCGAGCGUUAUCCGGAUUUAUUGGGUUUAAAGGGUGCGCAGGCGGGAGAUUAAGUCGGCGGUGAAAUUUUGCAGCUCAACUGUAAAAGUGCCUUCGAAACUGGUUUCCUUGAGUGUAGAUGAAGUAGGCGGAAUUUGUGGUGUAGCGGUGAAAUGCAUAGAUAUCACGAGGAACUCCGAUUGCGAAGGCAGCUUACUAAGCUACUACUGACGUUCAGGCACGAAGGCGUGGGGAUCAAACAGGAUUAGAUACCCCGGUAGUCCCUGA
RNAcentral lists this ribosomal RNA (277 nucleotides) under uncultured prokaryote. RNAcentral describes it as "partial 16S ribosomal RNA". It matches the Rfam family "Bacterial small subunit ribosomal RNA", at positions 524 to 800 of the family's 1533-position model. The record is from RNAcentral.